UGCAGUCGAGCGCAGUCCUUCGGGACCGAGCGGCGGACGGGUUAGUAACGCGUGGGAACAUACCCCUUUCUACGGAAUAGCCUCGGGAAACUGAGAGUAAUACCGUAUAAGCCCUUCGGGGGAAAGAUUUAUCGGGAAGGGAUUGGCCCGCGUUAGAUUAGAUAGUUGGUGGGGUAAUGGCCUACCAAGUCUACGAUCUAUAGCUGGUUUUAGAGGAUGAUCAGCAACACUGGGACUGAGACACGGCCCAGACUCCUACGGGAGGCAGCAGUGGGGAAUCUUAGACAAUGGGCGCAAGCCUGAUCUAGCCAUGCCGCGUGUGUGAUGAAGGUCUUAGGAUCGUAAAGCACUUUCGCCAGGGAUGAUAAUGACAGUACCUGGUAAAGAAACCCCGGCUAACUCCGUGCCAGCAGCCGCGGUAAUACGGAGGGGGUUAGCGUUGUUCGGAAUUACUGGGCGUAAAGCGUACGUAGGCGGAUCAGAAAGUUAGGGGUGAAAUCCCGAGGCUCAACCUCGGAACUGCCUCUAAAACUCCUGGUCUUGAGUUCGAGAGAGGUGAGUGGAAUUCCAAGUGUAGAGGUGAAAUUCGUAGAUAUUUGGAGGAACACCAGUGGCGAA
RNAcentral lists this ribosomal RNA (618 nucleotides) under uncultured bacterium. RNAcentral's name for it is "bacterial SSU rRNA". It matches the Rfam family "Bacterial small subunit ribosomal RNA", at positions 56 to 719 of the family's 1533-position model. The record is from RNAcentral.